CAGCAGCCGCGGUAAUACGAAGGGGGCUAGCGUUGUUCGGAUUUACUGGGCGUGAAGCGCACGUAGGCGGACUUUUAAGUCAGGGGUGAAAUCCCGGGGCUCAACCCCGGAACUGCCUUUGAUACUGGGAGUCUUGAGUUCGAGAGAGGUGAGUGGAAUUGCGAGUGUAGAGGUGAAAUUCGUAGAUAUUCGCAGGAACACCAGUGGCGAAGGCGGCUCACUGGCUCGAUACUGACGCUGAGGUGCGAAAGCGUGGGAAGCAAACAGGAUUAGAUACCCGGGUAGUCCCUGUCUCUUAUAC
This 301-nucleotide ribosomal RNA is filed under the name uncultured bacterium. RNAcentral describes it as "partial 16S ribosomal RNA". It matches the Rfam family "Bacterial small subunit ribosomal RNA", at positions 509 to 807 of the family's 1533-position model. The record is from RNAcentral.